GACGAACGCUGGCGGCGUGCCUAAUACAUGCAAGUAGAACGCUGAAGAGAGGAGCUUGCUCUUCUUGGAUGAGUUGCGAACGGGUGAGUAACGCGUAGGUAACCUGCCUUGUAGCGGGGGAUAACUAUUGGAAACGAUAGCUAAUACCGCAUAACAAUGGAUGACACAUGUCAUUUAUUUGAAAGGGGCAAUUGCUCCACUACAAGAUGGACCUGCGUUGUAUUAGCUAGUAGGUGAGGUAACGGCUCACCUAGGCGACGAUACAUAGCCGACCUGAGAGGGUGAUCGGCCACACUGGGACUGAGACACGGCCCAGACUCCUACGGGAGGCAGCAGUAGGGAAUCUUCGGCAAUGGGGGCAACCCUGACCGAGCAACGCCGCGUGAGUGAAGAAGGUUUUCGGAUCGUAAAGCUCUGUUGUAAGUCAAGAACGAGUGUGAGAGUGGAAAGUUCACACUGUGACGGGAGCUUACCAGAAAGGGACGGCUAACUACGU
Molecule: ribosomal RNA, 496 nt
Filed under: uncultured bacterium
Lineage: Bacteria
Description: partial 16S ribosomal RNA
Rfam family: Bacterial small subunit ribosomal RNA
Source: RNAcentral